GAAACUGGGCGGGGGCGAGUUUCAAAAUAUUAGAUUGACGCGAUAGGUUGCCAAUAGGAUGUGAGCGUGACAUACCGCUGCUGAUUUGAGCGAUUACUAAAUGACGUAGCCUAGUAAUCGAUAGGCGAUAUAAAGGUGGUUGGCCGGGAAAUCCUAUUUCUCCUGUUUUCCUUUAUUCAAACAAAGCGGGCAAACAAAACAGAACAAAAAAACCUAACCAAAAUCACAGCUGUUGAAGAAUAUGUAUGCCAGUAGGUAAUGGAAGUUAUCCAGAACUGUAUCAGGCAGUGAGGGCUACUCAGCCUGCUAUUGGAAGUAGCUGGAACAUAUGGUUUGACCCAACCCUGAAAGGAAGGGAAAUCAACCCAACCAGAAGGAGGGAAUAUAACAAACCAACUGACAAAAACACUAUUCCAACCCAAUUCAAACAGGAGAGGCCUGUUGGCAACUUUAGGAGAAGCUAUCCAGGCUCAUGUUAGAAAGAAGGAUUCUAGAUAUCUCUAGGAGGCAGAUACCAUCCCAAUUCUAAAAUGAUGGAGUCACUUCCAGAACAAGAAAGAGUUCUACCUAACAGUGAUUGAUGAGGAACUGGUCAAUGGUACAAAACUGAAGAAGACAUCACUUCAUCUCUAGAAAUAUGGCAUUUCCAACACAACUCCCAAAGGAAGAAGUCUCCAAACUGGCUCUAGAGGGAGGGAAAUGACAACUCAGCUUUAAAAUUAAAAAAAAAAAUUCCAAAGCAGUCUCAGGAAGAGGAUAGAUUAUACAACAGGUGUCAUCCCAAAACAGUACUGGGCAUUCUCCAGAUUUUUACCACAUCACAAAAAGAGCAAUGAAAAUAACAACAGCAGGACCCAGGAUGGUGGAGGAGAAGCCCAGUUUGACAAGUUGGUUUUAGGAAUGCAGUAGUCAGUGCUAGCUGGAAUCAGCAGUAAAAGAGCAGAAGAAAUCUUCGCUCAUUAGUCACUCUUCUCUCAAUAUUUCAGUAACAAAAAGAAAAAUCUGAUCAGAAAUACGAAUAUGUACUACCUCAAAAUGGCAACACUGAUGAAACUGUUGCUUAGAGAAUAAGCUCUCAGUAUCUUCAGCACUAUGCAAAGACAAAACUCGAAUUUUAAGCCAAUAUUAGUAAAAGUAGCAGAUGGAAAUAAAAUUUCAACCCAAGUCUACUUCUUUCAGCUAAAAUAGUCCAAGAUGGAAAUUUAAGACUCAAGAGUGGAGGAUAUUAUUUUAAAAAUCCUUCAUUUCCAUGAAAAAUAUUUGUAUCUUACUUUCAAAUGUUAUUUCUUAAAGAAACUCUUUGACUGUU
Hemicordylus capensis (graceful crag lizard) is the source of this 1309-nucleotide long non-coding RNA. RefSeq lists it as uncharacterized. NCBI's taxonomy places the organism in Eukaryota, Metazoa, Chordata, Lepidosauria, Squamata, Cordylidae. The transcript has 3 exons. The record is from RefSeq and is a predicted model, not a curated record.